RNAcentral lists this ribosomal RNA (530 nucleotides) under uncultured bacterium. RNAcentral describes it as "bacterial SSU rRNA". It matches the Rfam family "Bacterial small subunit ribosomal RNA", at positions 773 to 1297 of the family's 1533-position model. The record is from RNAcentral.
AGGGAAUAGAUACCCAGGUAGUCCUGGCAGUAAACGGUGCACGUUUGGUGUGGGCGCAAUCGACCGCGUCCGCGCCGGAGCUAAACGCGUUAAACGUGCCGCCUGGGAAGUACGGUCGCAAGAUUAAAACUCAAAGAAAUUGGCGGGGACCCGCACAAGCGGUGGAGUAUGUGGCUUAAUUCGAUGCAACGCGAAGAACCUUACCUGGUCUUGACAUGCAUUGUGUCUCCGGUGAAAGCCGGAUAGGGUAGCAAUACCCGCUUUGCACAGGUGCUGCAUGGCUGUCGUCAGCUCGUGUCGUGAGAUGUUGGGUUAAAGUCCCGCAACGAGCGCAACCCCUGUGAUUUGUUGCCACCGGCUUAUGCCGAGCACUCGAAUCAGACUGCCUCGAUCAACGAGGAGGAAGGUGGGGAUGACGUCAAGUCCGUAUGGCCCUUACGACCAGGGCUGCACACGUACUACAAUGCCCAGUACAAUGUGAACCGAGACCGCGAGGUGGAGGAAAUCAAUAAAACUGGGCUCAGUUCAGA